UACGGAGGAUGCAAGCGUUAUCCGGAUUCAUUGGGUUUAAAGGGUGCGCAGGCGGAAUGAUAAGUCAGUGGUGAAAUCUCUCGGCUCAACUGAGAAACUGCCAUUGAUACUGUCGUUCUUGAGUACACUUGGAGUGGGCGGAAUGUGUCAUGUAGCGGUGAAAUGCUUAGAUAUGACACAGAACACCGAUCGCGAAGGCAGCUCACUAAGUUGUAACUGACGCUCAGGCACGAAAGCGUGGGGAUCAAACAGGAUUAGAUACCCUGGUAGUCCACGCUGUAAACGAUGAUCACUCGAUGUUGGCGAUAUACUGUCAGCGUCUAAGCGAAAGCAUUAAGUGAUCCACCUGGGGAGUACGAUCGCAAGAUUGAA
RNAcentral lists this ribosomal RNA (372 nucleotides) under uncultured bacterium. RNAcentral's name for it is "bacterial SSU rRNA". It matches the Rfam family "Bacterial small subunit ribosomal RNA", at positions 524 to 898 of the family's 1533-position model. The record is from RNAcentral.